UCCAGCUCCGCCCUUCACUGGAGCGAGCUCGGCUAUCUCUCCUCUAGCAAUCCCCAUCGUUGUUUCUUCCUUCUACAUUCUCAACUGCCAUCUCAGGUAACCCUAGCCGCCUCAGUCUCCAGCGGCCAUGGAGGGCUCUAAUUCGUCCUCCCUAGAAUCAGAUCUCGAGCAUGGCGGUCGAGCUAUCCACGUGCGCACCGUGCAUGGCUUGCUGUGUGGCCAGGUCCGGCGCCAGGGAAGCCAUCAAGCGCGUCAUGGCUCACACGCGCUAGAAGGACAACCACUGGAACUCCAUGCCACCCUCUUCUCCAUGCAAGAACAUGCAGGUUUUGGGAUGUUCACUUUCCAGACCAGGAGUGUCGUCUGUUGCCGCUGCUGGAGCGACCACACGGUGGCAACCAUGGCGAUCCAAAGGUCAUCAGGGAAGUGGAUGAUGACGUCAUGAUGAUCCUGCUCUCUCCGUCGUUCAACCUUGACAUCAGCCACCCUCAUCCUCGUGACUCCAUAAGCACCUUCUUGUGAUGUGGAUAGGGCGGAAGUUCUCAUAUGCUGAAAUCUUGCUAGAGUCAGACAGACCAACACCCUCCUAUCCCAGAUUCGCGCUGCUACUACUUCAGGAAGGUCGGGGUCUGGGAUGGCACAGUGGUAUGGUGUUAAGUUAACUAGGGUCAAAAUUCUCAAUAUCUUACAUCUUCACCAAUUAGCAUAUUGAAGGUAGCUGGGCUCAUGGAGUGGGCUGACAUCGUUGCGGAGUCCGUCCAGGCACGCUGGGACUUAGCUACUCUGUUUCUCUUCCCAGCGCUGAAUUCCGGCAUGUGCGCCGCCUCACGGUUGAUCAAGCUUCCUCUGUUAAGUCUCUCUCUCCCUACAGAGUUUGUCUGUUCUUAUUAACAUUUUUUCAAUUGAAGUUGAAGUCAAAUCACUAUCCCGAGAGAGGAUAUUGAAAGAUAGUCAUAUGAGGACAAAUCAUCUUUGGCAUCCCCAGGCAAUUGGUAAUCUCUAACUGAAGGUAGCCAUUGCAUUUUCUCAUAAUGAUUCACUGGCCUUAAUCCAUGUGUUCCAUGAUCUAUUGAUAUAGUGAUCUAUUGGAUUUUUAGCUCCAGUUUGUCGCCAACAUUUUGUCCAAAAAUUAAAGGUUUAUUAUUUUUCAAGGUUCUUUGUUCUCUCAUACUUAUGUUUCUAAAUCUCUUUUGGUUGCACUGUACAUGAAUACAUGUAGACCAUGGAAGUUCACAUUUAAUAGAAGGUGUAUUUGUUAACCAGUUUGGUGUCGACAAAUGGUCUAUCUGUUCUAUCUCAUCUGUAAGAAUUUUAAAGACUGACAUAACCUAUCGGGUAGCCAAAUCUAAGUACUUGAAAUCCUGUCAGCAUUACUUGGGCUUCACUAAUUUGAUGAAGUGUUCUUUAUAUGUGUUGAAACUUUCAAGACAGGUGAUUUAUUUGAUUUCCCACAUUCUGAAGAAAUAUUAGUCCAUAUGAACAGAUUGUAAUCCAUGUAUUAAGAUUCAAGAACUAAUAGAGGAAUAGAUGAAAGCAAACUCUGCAAGUAAUUUUUUUAUUAUAUCCUUACAAGAUCAUAUAUCAUGUAAGUCUAAGCUAUGCCAUAGGAAAACCCACACGCUGGAAUGUGAAGGAUGAGAAGUAUCUUACAUGAAACACGCAGAUUAAGUUGUAAGAAGUGCUCUUCAGAAGCAUAAUAUCUGUUAAAAAAAAUUGUUUUUUGGUUUCUGGCAAUACAAUUUUAGUCGUUCUUUGCUUUUGGGUGAUACAAUCACUUCGUGGACGCAGUAGCGGGGCGCAUCACUCUACCUCAAUGACCCAACUAUUGCGCUUUCUCCUCGGCUCCACCUGACCACACGCCUCGAUUUGGUGCUCCUCCUCCACCCUACUCUUUCAACCGUGCACAUCACCAGCAGCAUUUCUUAAGUUUUUCAGUAGUGAUGGGAUCUGAAGUUUGCGACAUCUGCUGUUUUUAGUAGUGAUGGGAUCUGAAGUUCAUGACAUUCCAUGGCUCUGCAUUUUGUUUUUUAAUCUGUUUGAAAGGAAGUAAAUAGAAGUACGAGGUCUCUUGCUGCCAUUUAUAACUAAAACUAGGUUACUGUAAUCUUUGUUUAGUACUUAGAAAUAUUACUCUGCAUAUAUAAUCUCGAUUUUGAUAUUUUGGCUCAUUAAUAACCAGAUUGUUAUUCUGACAAGAGGUUUGAUCUCAAGGUUGUAAGAUUUUGUGGAAUUUUGUUUAAGAAUGAAUAUAUGCAGAUACUUACGUAUAUUUCGCUAUCAUGUACUAUUUAUGAUGCAAUCUUAUAUGUAUCAUCUUUAGAUUAUAAUUUGGAACUGUUGGGCUGAUAUAGCAACCUCUAAACAUUCCAACAAACACUGAAUAGAGAUCUGAUUACAGUUAUUUUUUCUGAAAUGAAUUUAUAAACUCUUCCAUUGAAAUGCUCUGAACACCCCCUCCGAUCUCAACUGGUAGACAAGGUGAUUCACACUCAAACAUUAUAUUUGAUCUUGAUGGCAGGAAUCUCCUUUAUGGGCCUGUCGAGAUAUCUAAAAGUUGUUUCUUCAUAAUCUUAAUAUCCUAUAAGACAACCUUUUUCCCUAUACAUAAAGGUUCUUGUGUACAGCUGUUUACCUAUUUCCAUCAGACUAUCACUACAUAUAUCAUAUGUUUCAAAACUUUUGGUAGGACUUCUUUUGGUAUUAAAUGAUUCUUUCAAGGUCAAUUAACUUGCACUUGUAGACUUGAAUUUUAAAAUGGUCAGUGAUUUGUGAAAACUUAUUUGAAGAAAAGAUGUUGAAAGAUAUUGCACUGAUGUUUCCCCUCCUAUUUCCUACAAGCUAUCAGAUGGGCAUUACUCGUCAAUAAUCAAACUCUAUUGUCCAAGCUUUCCAUUGAUGCAAGAUUACAUUUGGUGCAGUGGUAGACAAAUCCAAACAAUAGGAGAAAUGGCAUUAUGACUGAUUAGCCUACGCUGAGAUGGAUGUUGCCAAGUUUAAACAAGUUUCCUAGACCAUGUUGUAUAUUUUUAGUUUCGUUUCAUUUAUAGUUUUGUGGUCUAAAAAUCCUACUCAAGUUUACUUGUA
Long non-coding RNA from Lolium perenne, 3084 nucleotides. RefSeq lists it as uncharacterized. Lineage: Eukaryota; Viridiplantae; Streptophyta; Magnoliopsida; Poales; Poaceae. The record is from RefSeq and is a predicted model, not a curated record.